RNAcentral lists this non-coding RNA (29 nucleotides) under Mus musculus (house mouse). The record is from RNAcentral. Lineage: Eukaryota; Metazoa; Chordata; Mammalia; Rodentia; Muridae.
UGGGAGUCUUUAGUUUGUGCAAAACGUGC